AGAAGCUUAGGAUUAAGCCUAAACCAGCGGUCUUCAACACCACAAAUUAAGGGAUGCCCCUUAAGCUUCUG
RNAcentral lists this transfer RNA (71 nucleotides) under Phrynocephalus vindumi. Its description in RNAcentral is "Phrynocephalus ornatus vindumi tRNA-Trp". The record is from RNAcentral. Lineage: Eukaryota; Metazoa; Chordata; Lepidosauria; Squamata; Agamidae.